CGCCUUCAGACAACCUCACAUUGAAGGUCCGACCUGCCCAGUGAUUCUUUAACGGCCGCGGUAGCCUGACCGUGCUAAGGUAGCAUAAUCCUUCGCCUUUUAAUUGAUGGCUAGCAUGAAUGGUCAGACGAGCAUAAUAUUGUCUCUAGUAAACUCACUAUAACUUAAUCUUAAGGUGAAGAAGCCUUAUCUUUCAAGUAGGACAAAAAGACCCUAUCGCGCUUUAUAAACUUAUAAUCCUAUGCAAUAUAAUUCUAUUUUGUUGGGGCAACACAGGACAAAUAAAAUCAUCCUGCUUAAUACCUGGCACUAUAUGCCGCACUAUCAAAAUCUCUUCCUUUAUCACCAGCCACCGUAGGGAUAACAGACUACACUUCUCCGAGAGCCCAUAUUGACGAGAAGGCCUAGCACCUCGAUGUUGGCUUAGGGUAACUAUAAGAAGCAGCCCUCUUAUCAGUAGGUUUGUUCAACCUUUAAACCCCUA
This 484-nucleotide ribosomal RNA is filed under the name Golfingia margaritacea. RNAcentral's name for it is "partial 16S ribosomal RNA". It matches the Rfam family "Bacterial large subunit ribosomal RNA", at positions 1819 to 2598 of the family's 2925-position model. The record is from RNAcentral. Lineage: Eukaryota; Metazoa; Annelida; Sipuncula; Golfingiida; Golfingiidae.